GACGGAGGUUGCAAGCGUUAUUCGGAAUCAUUGGGCGUAAAGAGCGUGUAGGCGGCCGGUCAAGUCAGAGGUGAAAGCCCAGGGCUCAACCCUGGAAGGGCCUUUGAAACUGGUCGGCUUGAGUGCGGGAGAGGGAAGUGGAAUUCCUGGUGUAGAGGUGAAAUUCGUAGAUAUCAGGAGGAACACCGGUGGCGAAGGCGACUUCCUGGACCGACACUGACGCUGAGACGCGAAAGCGUGGGGAGCAAACAGG
Molecule: ribosomal RNA, 253 nt
Filed under: uncultured bacterium
Lineage: Bacteria
Description: partial 16S ribosomal RNA
Rfam family: Bacterial small subunit ribosomal RNA
Source: RNAcentral